Long non-coding RNA from Daphnia carinata, 321 nucleotides. RefSeq lists it as uncharacterized. The record is from RefSeq and is a predicted model, not a curated record. The transcript is spliced from 3 exons. NCBI's taxonomy places the organism in Eukaryota, Metazoa, Arthropoda, Branchiopoda, Diplostraca, Daphniidae.
UAGUCGCAUUCAGCUGCUGGAGAAGGUGACACUGUUCAGUUCCGAUGAAGUUCGUCAAGUAGAAAGUAUGGAUGAUGGAAGUGCAUUUUGGAGGCUCAAGCUACACACUUGUAACAACACAUCAAAAAUACAAUUGGAAGGCAAAGGUCAUCCAGUGUUCCAGAGAAUAAUGUAUAGAGAUGUUCUAGAAAUAAAUACUGCAGUGUCCAGUGAAGAGUAAAAUUGGUGGCAACACAUCUACAACAGGAAAGGGCCUUGCCUAGAUGAAGGAAUAAGAAAUGAAAAGGGUUGCUUUUGAAAAGCUUGUUCUUCAGUUCAAGG